RNAcentral lists this non-coding RNA (105 nucleotides) under Calditerrivibrio nitroreducens. RNAcentral's name for it is "SAM-I sequence". It matches the Rfam family "SAM riboswitch aptamer (S box leader)". From Rfam's summary of the family: The SAM riboswitch is found upstream of a number of genes which code for proteins involved in methionine or cysteine biosynthesis in Gram-positive bacteria. The SAM riboswitch acts at the level of transcription termination control. The record is from RNAcentral. Lineage: Bacteria; Pseudomonadati; Deferribacterota; Deferribacteres; Deferribacterales; Calditerrivibrionaceae. RNAcentral also lists the same sequence under 1 other name.
ACCUUAUCAAGAGUGGUCGAGGGACGGGCCCUAUGAAGCCACAGCAACCGGUUGGUAUCCAAUGUCAGGUGCUAAAUCCCGCCUUUUUAUAAGGAAAGAUAAGGC